Long non-coding RNA from Sarcophilus harrisii (Tasmanian devil), 3279 nucleotides. RefSeq lists it as uncharacterized. NCBI's taxonomy places the organism in Eukaryota, Metazoa, Chordata, Mammalia, Dasyuromorphia, Dasyuridae. The record is from RefSeq and is a predicted model, not a curated record. The transcript has 2 exons.
CUGUAGACUUUCUGAAAGGAUUUCAGAGAUUUCCAGGAUGCUCUGGUCCAUACUUUGAGAACCACUGCUCUGGAGUAUGUAAAAGAAGACUGGGGUUUAAAUCUUUUUCUGUGUGACUUUGAACAAAUCAUUAACUGAUCUGGGCCUCAGUUUUCUCAUCUGUUAAAUAAGAGGCUUGCAAUAAAUGAUCUAUGAGUUCUCUUCCAGUUCCAGAUGUCUAAACUUAUGAAUGACAAAAGAUUUCUAUGCUGAGGUAAAGCUCCAGGAUGUGGCUUACCCAUACCUACUGUAAGGAACCAGGAACUUCAUAUUCUAAUGGUAGCUGCAAAGGAACUCCUGGUGUGGAAACCAAACAGGCCCCAGAGAUGGCAGCAAAUAGAGGCAUCGGUUGAGUAAUGAGUUCCUAAAUCAACAUUUCUAGAGAUUAGAUAAAGAGUUCCUUAACCAAACAGGACCCAAAGUCAAGAAGCAAGAAGAAGCAGAGCCAUGGCAUGGAGCAGCAAAUCUAUUCCUCAUUUCUGUAUUGAGCGAAAUAAAGGAUGCCCUGAAAUUGAUGCUUCAUUAGCCUGAAGACUAAUGAACUGAGGACCCUUCUACUUUUUUUCAAUAAAAACAUAAUCAUGAGCUAUAUUUUGAUGUUCUGGGGAAACCCUAGGUAGGCUGGCAACAAUGAGCCAAAUUCUGACAUUCUCGGGAGAAAACUGGAUGAGAGUAUGGGCCAAAGAGUGAUUUUUGAAAAGCAUCCUCCCCUCCACCCCUAACACUGAAUUCUACAAACUGCAAAGCUGUUUCCAGAACUUAGCUUCUGGGCAAUGGGUUGCAUCCAUUUACUUCCAUAUUGUAUGUUUUAAGAAACAAUAAGUCUUUUUUGCUCCCAAGUCUUUCUCACCAAUCUUGGAAUCAUUCUCCUUUUAUGCCUAGCCUAAAAUCUGCCUCUCUAUUAAAGUCAUUCCUCUAAAGGUAAGCACUUCGUCUCCCUCCUAUGAAAAUGAAUAUAUUUUUAUAUUUAUGUGUGUAUACAUAUAUUGAAACACCUAUUUAUAACGACUAAUAAACUCUGAAUCAUCAAAUCUGAUGGUUUCUUUCCAGCCCUUGUCCUUCAUAAUAUUUAACCCACUGCCCAUAUUAUCCUACUAUAUACUCUUUCUUCCCUUAACCUCACAAAAACCACCCACACAAAUGUGGGGAUAAAAGAGGAAUGGAGGAAUCUCAUCUUUCUUUAGCACAUGGCUGAGAAAAGGAGAUUAGUUAAGAUUUGGGUUACAAAAUUUAGAACUAGAAAGAAUCUUGGAAACCAUUCUGGUCUAAUUUCUACAUUUUAUAUGUAAGAAAACUGGGUACCUAAGAAAUUAAGUUGUAGAGAACUCCCAGGAAGCUAGAAACUUCAGUAACUGGGAUGUUCCCCUACUAAGAUUAAUCAAGAGUGCAUUUAAGCUUGAAAUCAUGGGAAAACAAAGUUCUGGCACAAUUACCAGGGUGUUGUGAACUUUACAUAAGACUGAGUCUCUAGAAACUAACACUUCAGAGAGUUAGAUUAUUAGAAAACAGAAACCAGGAUUGGUUACAGAACAAUACCUUUCAUAGUAACAUAUGUUUUUAAGAUAUAUAUAAGCAAUAUGACUUCUCUCUGUUGGAUUAUCAGCACCCCGUCUUCUUAUUUUCAACCGCCACUAGCCCCUUUGUGUUUUGCAGGCUCCCAAUAUGGGGUCCUGAUCCUGUCAGGCACUGAUCAUGUCAAGCAGCCCACAAGGGAAGCAGAGACUUGACAGGGAAUUGGUACCGAAGAUGAUUUUCUAGUGGCUGGUACCCCCAGGGUAGCCGUAGGACAAAAGACCUACAUCAAGAUGAAGAAGACACAUAGAUCCUGGACAGAUGUAACCGCCCUGUCCAAAUUAUCCAGAGCAUGAAGAUAAAAGAAGACUUGAAGAGGCCGACUGCACCAUAAGGGGAAUCCAGAGGCAUGGCUCCUGCAACUGGCCCUAGUGCUGGCACAACUUAAAUUAAGAGAAGAAAACCUAAAAUCUUCUGGGGCAUUAUACAAAGCCCACCUUGGGUGAGAGUAGUUGGAUGGGGAGAAUACAUUCCUGAAAUUGUAUUGUAUGGUAAUGGAUCUCAAUAUUUAGUUAAGGAAUUUGAUGUUAAUAAGCAUGGAGGGGAGUCAAAUAGUUCAAUAAUUAAAUUAAAAUUUACUGGACUUACUAAAGAUCCUUCCCUGUGUUACUACAAAUGCUAGCUUUGACAGCUGUAGUCCAAUAGAACCUAUUCAUUUUUGUUAUAAAUGUGAUCCUUUUCAUAGGCUUUUGACUAAUAGGAAUGUUACAACCCUCCAAUUGUAUAAAAAAGGCUUUAAAUCUGUGGUGCCACAAAGCAUGCAACAUUUCCUCAAUCUAACAACCACUAUUAUGGAUAUAUUGGGACAGAACUAUGAAACAACUAAUUGGGGAAUCCAUAUAUCACCCUGUCCAGAUGGGGACUUAUGGGACUCUGAAAAAGCUGGCUCUCCUUUUCUGGACUGGAGAACAGAGCAGAGACUUUGUUACACAAUUUGGAAUCAGACUUAUGUAUCUUAGAAAUAUGACUUUUAUAAUCACUAUAUGCAUGGGCGUUACCCCAAACUGAGUUGAUAGGGAAAUAAUCAAAAGGGGAAUGAGCAGGUUUGGAAAAUCACAUUACCAUUCACUCCUUUAGAAGGAUAUUUUCAAUGGAAAAAAGGAAUGUAUUAUAUAAUGCUACUGUGCAGGCAUGUUUGGGGAAUGAUUAUGCUUUCAGUGGGGAGAAAUUGGCCAAGUGACAAUUACAAAGGUAGAAGGAGUUUAUAAUAUUACUUGCAGGGAAUGCAAAGUUUCUGAAUGCAUAGGAAAUAAGGUUAAUACCAGUAUUGUGUUUGUUAUCAUGAAGCCUUCAUUUAAUAUGUUACCUAUACAGACUGAUAACUGAUAUCACACUCGAGUAGACUAUUCCUUGGAGAACAUUGAACAUUUACUCAGCAAAAGUAGAAAAGAAAAGAUGUAUUUCAUUUGUUGUUUUUUGGUAUAAUUGCAUUAAUUUCUAUUUUAGCUUCCAGUGCCUCAAUUGCUAUGUCUGUAACCACUAUUCAAAAUCAAGUGGUUCAAGCUAAUUAUUUGCAUUAAUUUACUCUGAACAUCUCUAAAAGAUUUGCUAUGUGCAAUAAAAUCAAAAAGGAGUUUUAAAUGAAGCUAUAAAUCAAUUAAGGGAGGAUGUCCUUAAAAUAAGACAAGAAGUGGAAAUAUUGAGGAUUAGAGAAAAAUUGGUAUGUGA